Molecule: ribosomal RNA, 465 nt
Filed under: uncultured bacterium
Lineage: Bacteria
Description: partial 16S ribosomal RNA
Rfam family: Bacterial small subunit ribosomal RNA
Source: RNAcentral
CCUACGGGUGGCAGCAGUAGGGAAUCUUCCACAAUGGGCGAAAGCCUGAUGGAGCAACGCCGCGUGGGUGAAGAAGGUCUUCGGAUCGUAAAACCCUGUUGUGAGAGAAGAAAGUGCGUGAGAGUAACUGUUCACGUGUCUACGGUAUCUAACCAGAAAGCCACGGCUAACUACGUGCCAGCAGCCGCGGUAAUACGUAGGUGGCAAGCGUUAUCCGGAUUUAUUGGGCGUAAAGGGAACGCAGGCGGUCUUUUAAGGCUGAUGUGAAAGUCUUCGGCUUAACCGGAAUAGUGCAGUGGACACUGGGUGACUUGAGUGCAGCAGAGGAGAGUGGAAUUCCAUGUGUAGCGGUGAAAUGCGUAGAUAUAAGGAAGAACUCCAGUGGCGAAAGCAGCUUUCUGGUCUGUAACUGACGCUGAGGUUCGAAAGCGUGGGUAGCAAACAGGAUUAGAUACCCUUGUAGUC